This 97-nucleotide small RNA is filed under the name Paraburkholderia fungorum. Its description in RNAcentral is "sRNA Bp1_Cand684_SIPHT". It matches the Rfam family "Burkholderia sRNA Bp1_Cand684_SIPHT". The record is from RNAcentral. Lineage: Bacteria; Pseudomonadati; Pseudomonadota; Betaproteobacteria; Burkholderiales; Burkholderiaceae.
AGAAAAGUAGGUGCCGCCCCGCACAGGGGCAACGCUAAUAGACCACUAACACAACAAGGAAAGGCCAAAGAGUCAGACCAACAACGAAAAGCGCCGC